This 1156-nucleotide long non-coding RNA is filed under the name Chloebia gouldiae (Gouldian finch). Its description in RNAcentral is "Erythrura gouldiae (Gouldian finch) lncRNA (ENSEGOG00005001357.1)". Lineage: Eukaryota; Metazoa; Chordata; Aves; Passeriformes; Passeridae. The record is from RNAcentral.
CUUCAACCAAAAUCACCUCACCCUGGACACCUGUGCCGUGCUGUUAAAGCACUUUUCUGCCCUUUCAGGCAGAGGAGGGAAACCUGAACUCCUGAGUGAAUGUUAAAUAGUGCAUAGAAUUGGAGGGGUACCAUGACCCUUGCAAGGAGAUGGAGUACGUGCCUAAGGAAAAGCUGAAGAUCUGGAAUUCCACACAAGCUUAGCCAUGAUCCAUAUGAUGGGGCAAUGUAGCCAAGCUGUGGGUUGACUGAGGUUUGCAUCACUGCCCUGACCCAGAUUGCAUCUGCAGUCAUUUGGAACUGACUACAUGCCUGAACUGAUAAAAGAGGCUGUGGAAAUAUGGAUCUCUGGGGACUUGGCAAGAUGCUUGUGCCAUAUCCACCUGUCCUCUGGACGACAAAAGAGCGAGGAUCGGCAGUGUGUCAUUUAUUCUGCAAAAACUGACCAGAUGAGAACUGCUGUGACAGCCAAUAGAAGAAAUUUAAAAUUAAGGAAAGGCUGGUAUGGAACAAGAGGAAAAUUAUCCCAGAAUUUUGCACUUUUUUGUAAUCAAAGUCCUGUCUUUGGAGGGUAUUAGAUCAACUACACACUUGGUGAGGCCUGUGAGGAUUUUCCUUAUGUAACGCCUGCAGGAUUUAGCCCUAGCAUAUCACACUCUUCUAAAAGUGAUGUCCAGUUAGCAAUAGGUGGGUUCUCUUGAGAAAAAUGCAGGAAGAAAACUUGGUGAGAGCUGGAUCCUCUGCAGUGUCGCCUCUCAUGAAGGAUUGACAAAAGGAAAAAAAAAAUAAGUGAACUAAUACUGGAAGGAUGGAUUGGAUGCUUCCUGUUGUAGAACAAGAUAAAAUCCUGUGACAUGUUCCUUCCUAUUACGUGGGACACCACUGCUUAUGAUAAAGAUUAAUUUCUAAAUGUCCAUUGUAAAGCUAUAGGUCAGCCAAUAAGAUGAGACUUGACUAAUUUUUCAUUUCAAAGUGUAUGAUCGUUUCAUGCCUUUAAUUGACAUCAGUGCAGUGUGUUGUUCAAUCCAGUGAAAUUUGAAUCCCACUAUGAAUUUGUUUUCCACAAAUAGAUUAUGAACAGAAGCCUUUGAUUUCUAUUAAUUAUGUAUUUUUGAGUGAAAAGCUAUUUUGUGUAUAUAUAUUUAAUAGCAGGAAAU